RNAcentral lists this ribosomal RNA (468 nucleotides) under uncultured bacterium. Its description in RNAcentral is "partial 16S ribosomal RNA". It matches the Rfam family "Bacterial small subunit ribosomal RNA", at positions 28 to 507 of the family's 1533-position model. The record is from RNAcentral.
GACGAACGCUGGCGGCGUGCUUAACACAUGCAAGUCGAACGGAAAGGCCCUGCUUUUGUGGGGUGCUCGAGUGGCGAACGGGUGAGUAACACGUGAGUAACCUGCCCUUGACUUUGGGAUAACUUCAGGAAACUGGGGCUAAUACCGGAUAGGAGCUCCUGCUGCAUGGUGGGGGUUGGAAAGUUUCGGCGGUUGGGGAUGGACUCGCGGCUUAUCAGCUUGUUGGUGGGGUAGUGGCUUACCAAGGCUUUGACGGGUAGCCGGCCUGAGAGGGUGACCGGGCACAUUGGGACUGAGAUACGGCCCAGACUCCUACGGGAGGCAGCAGUGGGGAAUAUUGCACAAUGGGCGGAAGCCUGAUGCAGCAACGCCGCGUGCGGGGUGACGGCCUUCGGGUUGUAAACCGCUUUCGCCUGUGACGAAGCGUGAGUGACGGUAAUGGGUAAAGAAGCACCGGCUAACUACGUG